GGUCGGGGACAGGGUGACAGGUGGUGCAUGGUUGUCGUCAGCUCGUGUCGUGAGAUGUUGGGUUAAGUCCCGCAACGAGCGCAACCCUUGUCUUUAGUUGCCAUCAUUUAGUUGGGCACUCUAAAGAGACUGCCGGUGUCAAACCGGAGGAAGGUGUGGAUGACGUCAAGUCCUCAUGGCCUUUAUGACCAGGGCUACACACGUACUACAAUGGCCGGUACAAAGGGCAGCCACUUAGCGAUAAGGAGCCAAUCCCGUAAAGCCGGUCUCAGUCCGGAUUGGAGUCUGCAACUCGACUCCAUGAAGUUGGAAUCGCUAGUAAUCGCAGAUCAGCACGCUGCGGUGAAUACGUUCCCGGGCCUU
This 363-nucleotide ribosomal RNA is filed under the name uncultured Desulfocapsa sp. RNAcentral's name for it is "bacterial SSU rRNA". It matches the Rfam family "Bacterial small subunit ribosomal RNA", at positions 1019 to 1382 of the family's 1533-position model. Lineage: Bacteria; Pseudomonadati; Thermodesulfobacteriota; Desulfobulbia; Desulfobulbales; Desulfocapsaceae. The record is from RNAcentral.